Molecule: long non-coding RNA, 290 nt
Filed under: Hordeum vulgare
Lineage: Eukaryota; Viridiplantae; Streptophyta; Magnoliopsida; Poales; Poaceae
Description: long non-coding RNA (HVUL_LNC003478)
Source: RNAcentral
UGCUGCUGCCGCUGCUGCUGCUUCCAUCGGGGAAGGAAGGAGGAGUGAUGGUCACGCCGGGCCUUUUUGUUUUCUGGAAUUGCUUUUGGGCCAGUGGCCCGUUACUUGCUAUUUUUGGCGGCCAAGUUCUGAGGUGGAAGCAUAUUAGCAGUCGCCAUGACCGAUGAACCAUGUCACUGAACCUUGUACGUGAGUGCGUCUUGGUGCAUCCUGCAACGGAUCCAUCGUGUUUGACCGCUCAACAAAGGGUUCCCAACUCUGAAACAUGGCAUCAGUUCCUCUUCUUCCCG